Molecule: ribosomal RNA, 478 nt
Filed under: uncultured bacterium
Lineage: Bacteria
Description: partial 16S ribosomal RNA
Rfam family: Bacterial small subunit ribosomal RNA
Source: RNAcentral
GACGAACGCUGGCGGCGUGCUUAACACAUGCAAGUCGAACGGUAAGGCCCUUCGGGGUACACGAGUGGCGAACGGGUGAGUAACACGUGGGUGAUCUGCCCUGCACUUCGGGAUAAGCCUGGGAAACUGGGUCUAAUACCGGAUAGGACCACUGCCUGCAUGGGUGGUGGUGGAAAGCUUUUGCGGUGUGGGAUGGGCCCGCGGCCUAUCAGCUUGUUGGUGGGGUGAUGGCCUACCAAGGCGACGAGGGGUAGCCGGCCUGAGAGGGUGACCGGCCACACUGGGACUGCGAUACGGCCCAGACUCCUACGGGAGGCAGCAGUGGGGAAUAUUGCACAAUGGGCGCAAGCCUGAUGCAGCGACGCCGCGUGAGGGAUGACGGCCUUCGGGUUGUAAACCUCUUUCAGCACCGACGAAGCGCAAGUGACGGUAGGUGCAGAAGAAGGACCGGCCAACUACGUGCCAGCAGCCGCGGUAA